This 446-nucleotide ribosomal RNA is filed under the name uncultured bacterium. RNAcentral describes it as "partial 16S ribosomal RNA". It matches the Rfam family "Bacterial small subunit ribosomal RNA", at positions 355 to 790 of the family's 1533-position model. The record is from RNAcentral.
UGGGGAAUAUUGCACAGUGGGCGCAAGCCUGAUGCAGCCAUGCCGCGUGUGUGAAGAAGGCCUUCGGGUUGUAAAGCACUUUCAGCGAGGAGGAAGGGUUCAGUGUUAAUAGCACUGUUCAUUGACGUUACUCGCAGAAGAAGCACCGGCUAACUCCGUGCCAGCAGCCGCGGUAAUACGGAGGGUGCAAGCGUUAAUCGGAAUUACUGGGCGUAAAGCGCACGCAGGCGGUUUGUUAAGUCAGAUGUGAAAUCCCCGCGCUUAACGUGGGAACUGCAUUUGAAACUGGCAAGCUAGAGUCUUGUAGAGGGGGGUGAGAAUCCCCAGGUGUAGCGGUGAAAUGCGUAGAGAUCUGGAGGAAUACCGGUGGCGAAGGCGGCCCCCUGGACAAAGACUGACGCUCAGGUGCGAAAGCGUGGGGAGCAAAACAGGAUUAGAUACCCUGG